RNAcentral lists this long non-coding RNA (207 nucleotides) under Carica papaya (papaya). RNAcentral's name for it is "long non-coding RNA (CPAP_LNC002027)". The record is from RNAcentral. Lineage: Eukaryota; Viridiplantae; Streptophyta; Magnoliopsida; Brassicales; Caricaceae.
GCCUUUUGUAAUUCAAUCAUUAUACAACAUAUUCUUUUCUCAUUUACCAGCCUACUAGUAUCCAUGGGGGUCCCUAGGGGUCCCGCUACCCGUUAACCUUUAACAUUCAUAAUCAGUUUCCAGGGCCGUCCCCAUACCCCGUCCGGUAUGGGCGCCAAAACCAUAAACCUCAAUACCCCGUCCGGUAUGAGGGUGAAACGGGCCGUC